This 374-nucleotide long non-coding RNA is filed under the name Malus domestica (apple). RNAcentral describes it as "long non-coding RNA (MDOM_LNC014198)". The record is from RNAcentral. Lineage: Eukaryota; Viridiplantae; Streptophyta; Magnoliopsida; Rosales; Rosaceae.
UUCAACAUGAUGCUCCAAAUACUCGAGGAUGGAAGAUUAACCGACAGCAAGGGCAGAACCGUGGAUUUCAAGAAUACACUUCUGAUAAUGACAUCUAAUGUUGGAAGCAGUGUGAUCGAGAAAGGAGGCCGACGCAUUGGAUUUGACCUUGAUUAUGAUGAGAAGGAUAGCAGUUACAAUAGAAUUAAGAGCUUGGUGACGGAGGAACUAAAACAGUACUUCAGACCAGAGUUCUUGAAUAGGUUGGACGAAAUGAUUGUUUUCCGACAACUCACCAAGCUGGAGGUGAAGGACAUAGCAGAUAUAAUGCUCAAGGAGGUUUUCGAGAGGUUGAAGAAGAAAGAGAUAGAGCUUCAAGUGACAGAGAGGUUCAG